GAUGAACGCUGGCGGCGUGCCUAAUACAUGCAAGUCGAGCGAACGGACGAGAAGCUUGCUUCUCUGAUGUUAGCGGCGGACGGGUGAGUAACACGUGGAUAACCUACCUAUAAGACUGGGAUAACUUCGGGAAACCGGAGCUAAUACCGGAUAAUAUUUUGAACCGCAUGGUUCAAAAGUGAAAGACGGUCUUGCUGUCACUUAUAGAUGGAUCCGCGCUGCAUUAGCUAGUUGGUAAGGUAACGGCUUACCAAGGCAACGAUGCCUAGCCGACGUGAGAGAGUGAUAGGCCACACGGGAAGUGGGACGCGGUCCAGACGCCUACGGGAGGCAGCAGUAGGGAAUCUGCCGCAAAAGGCGAAAGCCUGGCGGAACAACGCGGCGUGAGUGAUGAAGGUCUUCGGAUCGUAAAACUCUGUUAUGAGGGAAGAACAUAUGUGUAAGUAACUGUGCACAGCGUGACGGUACCUAAUCAGAAAGCCACGGCUAACUACGUG
This 497-nucleotide ribosomal RNA is filed under the name uncultured bacterium. Its description in RNAcentral is "partial 16S ribosomal RNA". It matches the Rfam family "Bacterial small subunit ribosomal RNA", at positions 28 to 507 of the family's 1533-position model. The record is from RNAcentral.